UUGGAGGGCUAGGCGAUCGCCGCUGGGGUUUGCCCCAGGGGAGGAAAGUCCGGGCUCUAUAGGGCAGGGUGGUGGCUAACGGCCACCGGGAGUAAUCCUAGGGAAAGUGCCACAGAAAACAAACCGCCUCCCGUGGCUUCGGUCGCGGGCGGUAAGGGUGAAAAGGUGCGGUAAGAGCGCACCGCGGCAGUGGUGACACUGCUGGCAGGGUAAACCCCACCUGGAGCAAGACCAAAUAAGGGAGGAGAGGCGGCCCGUCUCGUUUGACUUCUGGGUAGGUCGCUCGAGGCCGUCGGCAACGGCGGCCCUAGAUGGAUGGUCGCCCCGGAGAGCGUCAUUGGCGCUCGAAGGACAGGACCCGGCUUACCGGCCCUCCAACAAC
Molecule: RNase P RNA, 382 nt
Filed under: Planctomycetota bacterium
Lineage: Bacteria; Pseudomonadati; Planctomycetota
Description: Planctomycetes bacterium (subsurface metagenome) RNase P RNA component class A
Rfam family: Bacterial RNase P class A
About the family: Ribonuclease P (RNase P) is a ubiquitous endoribonuclease, found in archaea, bacteria and eukarya as well as chloroplasts and mitochondria. Its best characterised activity is the generation of mature 5'-ends of tRNAs by cleaving the 5'-leader elements of precursor-tRNAs.
Source: RNAcentral